Molecule: long non-coding RNA, 1589 nt
Organism: Stegostoma tigrinum
Lineage: Eukaryota; Metazoa; Chordata; Chondrichthyes; Orectolobiformes; Stegostomatidae
Exons: 3
Source: RefSeq, a predicted model, not a curated record
AGGGAGACGCAGCGGCAAGAAGCUGCUGCUGGGGGUCAGGCUUGUAGCUUUUAGUCUUCUAAACACUGAUGGAAAUUCAUUGUUUGGCUGCUGUUUCACGCUGUUAGUUGCGAGUUUGCAUUGAACCGUGAAUAAAACAAAGCAGUGUGUGCAAACGGGCUCAUCCCGCGAAGGAGAAACAUAGCAGUCACCGGAUUAAGAGUUUCCAGCAAAAUAUUUGAAAUCGUGCCUGUUGUGCUUCCCUUCAAUAGUUCGUGUAUUGGGAGCUGGAUAUUGAACCGUGCAAUUAUCUGAUGUGCCAAGACAAUGUCACGUUUCCGUGGUGCAACACCAAGUGUGACUAGCUGCUCCUACUAACAGCAGGCAAAUACAUGAAGGACCAAGACAGUGUAUCAUUUCCUUGGUGCAAAGCCAAGUGUGAGCAGCUGCUUCUCACAAACAGCAGGUAUGUUACCGCUGUCAGAAUGGAUCAUUUCCACAGGCGUAGAGCAGUUUGAGUCAGAGACACGGUGAUCUCAAUUUCCAGAGAAAUGCAUUCAAGCCAACAGUCAAAUACAAGCAACAAAAUACAAGUAGUUUGUUUUCUCUCUUCCCAAUGCACCCCUCCUCGGUUGCUAUAAUUUUCUUCAUUCAUAGCCUACUGAUAUUUACAACAUUUUUGAAAAGUCACAGACUGAAUCUUCAUCUGAGACGGACACCGAGGAACUGCACUAAAUCUGCAUUUAGUAAGCAUGUUUUUCAAGUUACUGUCAAGGUGAAGAAAUAGUUCAUGCAGUUACAUAGUUACUUCGCACAGUGUGAGUACAGAUAUGGAAGAAAACAUUCACGUUAUCAGUAACUGAGCAGGACGGUGUCUAUGUUUUGACAAAUUGAUGUCCCAUGCAUAGAGAGAAGAAUUAAAUAAUGUGACUUCCAAAUGUGUGACAUAAAAUGGUUACUGAGAGCACAUAACAUAAACUGCACAUGCGCGCGCGCACACACGCACCGACUUACUGAGUGAUUUACAAUGUAUUCCAAAUACAUACAUGCACCGUUCCAACACACAUUCCUCAACAUCUAAUAGCCAUGAAGACCAUGUACACUUCAAGCCUCAGCACAUGUAACACUAAAAAUGAUUUCUACUCUCAGAUUUCAGGUCAGAGAGCUAGCCUUCUAUGAAAGAGACAAACAGAACAAAAAGUGAGCUCAGUUCUCCAAUCUCCAUGCACUCCCUGUAGGAUUUAACUACAUGGUAAUGGCCAUGGUCAUAAAUUAAGUAUCAAUUGUUUGCGACAUCAUCAAAAAAAAUUGUGUGAAUUUUUUGACAUACUGAAUUCCCAUGAAGUAGUCCAAGUAGUAGAUUGAACAAGAGAUUCAUUGUACCUCCAAAUAUCGAACGGUGUCUUAGACUGAGAGAGGUAACUAAAGUUUUUUUUUCCUUUUGUACAAACUGGAGGAAUUGCAUAUCAGGACAAGUGACAGAUUGAAACCUAUAUUGCCAUUGAAUUUGUUUACCCCACAAACUGAAUAGCAGAACCCACUGCCGAAUAUAAAGUUUUAAAUCUACCUGAAGGAAAUUAAAUAUUGACCUGAAAACAGGCAGAAAAUAA